This is a long non-coding RNA of Chelonia mydas (Green sea turtle), 859 nucleotides long. RefSeq lists it as uncharacterized. The record is from RefSeq and is a predicted model, not a curated record. The transcript is spliced from 4 exons. Lineage: Eukaryota; Metazoa; Chordata; Testudines; Cheloniidae.
CCUAGAUCCAGGGAGCUGGGACAGAACAUAAAAGCUGACCCAGCUACAAGGGCUUGAUAAGAAAGAUCUGUGGAUGCAAAGGUGUUGCUAUCUGGACAGCAGCAUGAUGGUGAGAGGCUGACCAUAUGGGUCAGAGAAAGGAAAUUGUUUCAGAAGAUAUCUCCUUAAUAAACUUUAACUUCAAGUUCCUUUAAAAAUGUGGUAAAAUGGAUGUGACAGACCAACUACGGUCGUUAAUAAAUAUCUGAUAACCAAGGAAGGUGAGGAGGUUAAGAUUUAUGGGGGGAAACAUUCCACCCAGCCAGAUGAAGCUGAACUUCCACCCUUCAUCAUAAAGGAGGAAAUUUUAAGAACAUUUAGGGAAGUAUUAGCAUAGGAAUGAAGGAACAGUCAUUCUGGAUCUGACCCUUUAGUCCAGUAUCUUGCCUCUCACAGUGGCCAGUAUCAGCUGAAGGUCUAUGAAUCAAACCUACUGAUUUUCGUUUGUGAAAUCCUCAUGAACUGAAACUGGCAGAUUUCACAGAGCCUUAGAGAAAUGCUUAUUCUCUUUUGGAGACUCAAGAGCGUGGGAUGGUUUAGAGAAGUACCUCAUUGUUUGGGUCCUUAGCCAAAUGGACCCAAACCAUUCAUGAUUUGCUUAUGGAUACUUCUCAUUUUGUAUGAUUGUCCAUGAUAUCUAGUUGGAAGAAAGAAUAACUACUAAAGUCUGCCCACACACUAACUGCUAAGACUACUCGGACUGACUGCUAAUGCUCAUUACUCACUUACACGACAGCGCUGCCUUAUGCAUUGCAGUGAAAGAAAACCUUCCACAUUAUUUGUUUCCUGUUAUGCAGGAACAAAAAAUAAAAUGACUGGG